CUAAAUAAACAAACCUAAACUCUAAAUACUAAACCCUAAAUCCCAAAUAUUAAAUCAGCCGUAAUAAGCUAUAUAACUCGGAUGCCACGUUUGUUAAAUGUUGUCGUUUGGCGGGAAAUAAGAUAAAUAAAUUUUGAGAAAUUUCAAUUCCCGCCGUUUCACGUUCUAUGUUUCUCUAUAUAUAGUGCCCUCUCUAAUACCCUUUCUUACGCCUUUAUCUCUCUAGAAAAAACCUAAACAAUAUCUCUCUAUCCCCAUCAAAAGCCAUGCCGAUUGUUCCUGGAAAUUCAGAGAGGUUAGAGAACAGUGUUUUUGCGAUACUAAGCUCUGCAAAUCGUGAAAACCUCCAUGUUCUAUACCCUGGUCCGUGUGACUUGCUUGACACAACCAGCUCUACAUGGUUUAAAUUUUUAACUGAUCUCUCCCUGGUCAUCCCGACGAUUCUUGCAGAAGGAUGGGUUCAUGCAUGGCCGACAUACUGCGACAUUCCCGAUCAUUUUAUAGAACGCUGGUUUCUUCAACUCGCUGUAAGGCCCGACAUUUGUUCAUAUAUAUUAAUAUAUACCAUCGGUCUGUAAUCUUUGUAUUUUUUGUUUGCUGUAGCGGACAAACACAUGGGAUCGAAGGCAUCAUUUGACAGUUUGGCGUAAUUUUAAUCUUGUGGCCAGAAGUCUAUUUCGUUGUCAGAUGCGCCAUUUGAGGUGGACUUGGUCGGAAGGAGGCGAGAAGCCAACUUGGAUGCUAACCAGCGUUUGGCUUGAUCUCUGCCACAUGUUUGAAGAGUCUGGUCCAGAUAAUUUUGGUUCCUGAAAGUCUUUUCGUGUCUGUAUUUUGAACUUCAUUAUUUCAGCCAUAACUUGUUUCAAUGAUUCAGGCGCAACUAGUUUGAAUGUAAUCUCGGCCACACAUUUUAUAUAAUUCAGGCAUAACUUGUUUCAAUAACUCAGCCGUAAUUGUAUUUUGAAACGCAUUAUUUCUGUUUGUGAAUGUUAUCUCGGCCACAUAUCUAAUAUAAUUAAGGUAUAACUCAGCCAUCAUUUUAUUUAAAUAAGUCAGGCAUAUCGUAUUUAAAUAACUCAGUCAUCAUUGUAUUUAAAUAACCCAGCAUCGAUUUAAUUUUAAGAGGCGGUAUAUGGGAAGUUCCAUCAUUGUGCGCGUGGGAAAAUUUGGCUGCCAUGAUAAUAUCGAGACUCAUUAUUACGAGUUUUUAUAUAUAUGUUUCAUUUACAAUAUCGAGACACUGAUAUUAUAUUGUAUUUUAUAUAUUUAAUAGUACUAUAUCUGUGAUGUCGUAUCUCUUCUUACAAAGUAAAACAAUUUUUAGUUUUCAAGGACUUUGAAAUCUAUUUUAACAAUGUCUUCCUCAUCCUUCACCUCAGGAAAUUAUUACAGACGACGUAGGAAUAUGGAAAGAGGAACGCCGCAAGAGUGUUGGUGUGGUGCACCAUCUGACAUUUUUACAUCUGGAAGCGAAACAAAUCCAGGAAGAUUGUACUAUUGCUGUGCAAAAGGAUAUCAUAAGGUUAGUUCUGGUUCUUAUUUCCCAUGUUCGGAAACGUAAUACUUAGAUCUGGUAACAUUGGUGAAAACAGAGUCAUUUAUUCAAAUGGGCGGAUGAGUGCUUGGUGGAAGAGGUUGAAGAUAUUAAGGCAGUGAUAAAUGGCAUGAAUAGAGACAUCUCGGAGUUGCGAGUUAACGUUGCUCGGUUGGCGAAUGGAGUAAAGACAGAAUCUGAGAGAAAAGGAGGCGAAUGUUUGAGUGAGAGUAGGUGUUUGAGGAAUGUGGUUGUUUGUAUGGCUGGAAUGGCGAUAUUUUGCUACUACUACUUCUCUGUUUAGUCAUGUUUUGUCAUCAUAAGUCAGCUUUCGCGUGUUAUGUAACUCAGCCUUUAUUAACUUUUAAGUUGUUUUAACUCAGUCGUAUGUAAACAAAACUAUGCGUUUAUUAAUAUAUAACUCAGCCGUUAAAUCAAAUUGAUAAAAGCGAGAAUGUUUUGUUACCUCUAGUAAAUGACAUAAAUAGCCUUUGGUUAGUUUUAUUUACUUUUAUGCUCAGAUAGUCUCAUCAACCAGUAACAUUGAUUGACAAAACAAUUAGAAAAAAAAAAACAUUGUCGGAAACGGAGAAGGAACCGCAAGGAUACUAAAUCGCCGUCGACAUUGUGUUUACUUCCUCUUCCUAAAAAUAACUGUGAGAUCUCUGUUAUCGUUAUCGUUCGUUUGUACGAAAUCGUCUUCGCCGCAUUCAUAUCUACAAGUUCGUCUUUUCGGUAGGAUGUCGCGACGUUAAAUAUUGAUUUGGGGUUUUGUUUCGAGUGAGUUAGGGUGUUGUUUCGAGUGAGUUAGGGCUAUGUUUCGAGUGAGUUAGGGUGUAGUUGUGAUUAGGUUAUUAUUGUGUUGUGGCUGAGUUAUUGUUAUGUUGUGGCAGAGUUAUUGUUAUGUUUUCCCUGAGUUAUUGUUAUGUUUUCCCUGAGUUAUUGUUAUGUUGUGUCUGAGUUAUUUUAAUGUUGUGGCAGAGUUAUUGUUAUAUUCAUUGAGUUAUUGUUAUAUGUCGUGACUGAGUUAUUGUUUGUUUAUUUGUUCAGAUGGAUGUUUCUGAUGUUAAAUCACGGGGUUACCCUCCAAGACUUUAUCCUGUAGGGUCUUCUAACCUAGAAAAUAAAGACAUUAAUCACAAUUUCCGUUCACGAGAUUUACCUCAUAUUAUAGAAGCACUAGGAGAAGAUGUAUGGAAAGCACUGGUGAACUCUCCCAUUGGAGUAGUUGCUAGGCUAGUUGAACGCCGAAGCGUGUGGUCUGGUAGAACAGUACACUAUCUACUAUGUAGACAGCUGUGAGUACAUAGGAAGGAGAUAUGGAGUCUGGUGGUUGAUGAGCCUAUCAAGUUUAGUUUGGUAGAAUUUGGUGAGAUAACUGGGUUAAACACUGGUCCAUUGCCAACAGAAAGUUUUGAACAUGAUCCUGAUAAAUACAAACCGUUUUGGGCGAAGCUGAAGGUGUCGCUUGGGAGGGGACCCACGUUGGAUAAACUGAAGAACUCAAUAGAGGUCUGCCCGAGUUGGACAUUUGAAGAGCGUAAAUGGUUAGGGCUAUUAGUUCUUCAACACAUGGUACUUUAUUGUUUGCAUCAAAAUUCUCGGGUGCCAUUUGAAAGUGCCAAAAGAGUGUUUGACGAUGAAGCCAUGAAGUCGUAUCCAUGGGGUCGGACUGCAUACGAAGUUCUCAUUGACUCUAUUAAAACGUUGGCUCCAGACAGGGGGUCAUACACAUUAAGCGGCCUAAAAGAUGCGUUAUUGAUUUGGGCGUAUGAAUCCAUCGUCUGCUUUGGCGAGUGUUUUGGGAGAGUGGUGAAUAAUGAAGACGUUCCACUUUUACGAUGGGGUGGAAAGCGUACUCGUGCAAAUUUCGAAAACUUGUUGUCUGCCGAGAUAAAACAACAUAGCCAGGUAAGGUGUAACGCUGCGUUUUGAUUUCUUAAAUGGCUGAUUUAUUAGACUUAAUGGCUGAGUGUUGUGUUUAUUUGGUGGCUGAGUUAUAUUAUGACCUGGUGUUACAGGUGCGUGUUAGGAGAAUGGUUUCGAAGGAGUCAAUCGAAGAGUUGUUUCCUGAAUGGUCGUGUCAACCUGACGACCCACAACUCAUUAACUUGAUAACAGACAUACAUGCAGGUAGAUUUGUAAAAGGUUUUUGGGAAGUGCAUGGAAAUGCGGAGGGGAAGGGUAACGAGAAGAAGAAGAAAGCUGAGCCACCCACUAAGAAGCAUAAUAAAGUUAAGACCAAUGAGGGUGAAGCUGCUGCAACGGGAAACGGUUCAAGCGAAGAGGAAGGUAAUAAAGAUUCGGGGAACAACGCGAGUCUGAUGGCCAUUGCGAGUACUCUGGAUAAACUUUCCAGAAAAUUUGAUCUGAUGGACGUGCGAUUUAAAAAACCAUUGGUGGACCAGAAGUCGAUAGAUGACAUGGUGAAAGUUGCAGUGGAGGAGCGUCUGAAAGUUAUGGGAAGAAGAAAAAAUCCCCAAAACAAAGAUAACCUCUCAAACGUCGUCGCCGACCAACAACCUGAACCGUUGUCAUCACCACAGCCUAAUACCCAGCAGAAGUCUGUCUGUAGUCCACUGUUAGCUGAAACCCCUGGAAAGGAUAUGAGACCUAGAAACAAUUUGUCCAACGAGCUUGAUAAGGAGAGAGGGAUGAAAAAAACUUUGGCUUAGGAGUUUGGAACACAUGCUGAAAAUGAGGGUGCUAAUGUUCUUAAUUUCCUAUAUGUUUCUCUUGCAAAGGCAACUAAGGCUGAAGACUUACGUCGCCACUCCACGCGCAACCGUACUAUAAAGGAUGAGGAUGCAGAAGAUAAGAAAAAAGCUGUGCAAGCAGAGGCUGUGUUGAAGAGGAAGGAUAAAGCUGCCGCUAAGAGAAAAGCGGCUGCCUCAAUGAAGCAAAAACAGCCUGAGUUAAAUAAACCAAAACAGGCUGAGUUAAUGAAUGAAAAACAGGCUGAGUUAAAGAAUCAAGAACAGGCUGAGUUAAUGAAUGAAGAACUGGCUGAGUUAAAAAAUCAAGAAGCCGAUAAUGAGAAGAGAAAGAAUAUAACUACACCGCGUGCCAAUGUAAAAAGAUGCAAGGUUGAAGAUUCUGUAGAGGGCAGUGAAUUUGCUGUAAUGACCGACGAAGUUCUUGCGGAGGAGAAUGAAAUCUUGCCGGAGUCGCCUAUGGAGAGUCAGGAAUUGAUUAGAUCUGCUAUAGUAAAAGAAUAUCUGGAGAAAACAGUUAAAUUAUCUCCACAAGGGUUUGCAUUGUCUGAAGGUUCUUCAAGACCAGUUUUUCCUUACAUUGGAGACAAUGGAACGACGUGCAUGAGGAAUAAUGUUGAGCCUUCAUCAGCAAUAUAUGACCCUCUAGCACCUGUUGAUCCGAUUGUAUUAGAUAAACUUAUGCAACACAUCUCGAGAAUUCCACCCAAACCACCAGCACCAGCAAAGAAAAGAGUUGUAAGAUCUUCCGCUCGUGAGGGUGACUUCUACAGCAUACUCAUCCCUGAAAGACCGUGGCCGCAUAGCCAAUAUGGAUGGUUGUUUGAUGAUGUAAGUCUAUAAUUACGACAGAGUUUUACAUGAUCUUUCAGCUGAUUUCUAUCUUCUAUUAAGGCUGACUUAUAUAUUUGUUUACGGCUGACAUGUUAAUAUCUAUUGUGUAGCAUAUCUCUGCGUAUAUUAACGUCCUCAUUAAGAGGUCCAUGCGAGAUCCCACCCCAUUCUGGACCAAGCGAAUUGCCUUCAUUGAUCCUUGGUUCUUGUCUAAGUGGGUUGACGAUUACAAGCAGUUCAAGAUAAAACCUAAUAUGAUGAAGUUCACAGGGAAUGGUUAUGAAAAUCUUGUACACGGUAAGCUUCCCUCUAACUUUCAAACAAACUUGAAGUGGUAUGAACACGUGGAACACUUGUACGGAUGUCUUCAAACCGGCAGAAAUCACUGGGUGGCUUUUCACGUGGAUCUGAAGAAGGAGAAGGUUGAUUACUAUGAUUCAAUCAUUGGAGAGGUAACAGCCAAAAGUGAGAAGAAAAUGCUUGAUUCAUUUAAACCGAUAACGCUUAUGCUUCCCGAUAUUUUGAAUCAAAACAUUCCUGCCAAUCUCCGAACCCCGAGUAGGAAGAAAUUCGCAUUCAGGAGGAGGAGCAAAAGGUACACUCCACAAAACACCCAGAUUGGCGAUUGUGGGGUGUAUGCGUUGAAGUUUGUGGAGUGUCUAGCGCUUGGUGUAAGUUUUGCUGGGAUAAACGAUAAAAAUAUUCAAGGUUUACGGUUGAAGAUGGCGGCAAAGAUCCUCAAUGAAGGAGAAAACAGGGCGGAGAACAAUUAGCUUUCCAAAUGAAUCUGUGUUUGUUAUUUUCAAUCAGACUUUCCAAUUACCUUAAGUUGUUUAUUGUUGUUUUAUUUUAUUAAGUCAGCCGUUAAGGUAGAUAUAGCUCAGCCAAACCUCAAACCAUACCCUAAGAUUGGAAAAUAUUUAAUAAGUCAGCCGAUUCGUCUUCAUAAAGCAGCCGUUAAGGUAGAUAAAAGUCAGCCAUACCUCAAACCAUACCCUGAAUUAAAAUAAUUGAUAUGUUUAUACUUCAAAAUGUUAUAACAUUCCCUAAUAAGUGAAUAUAUAAUCAACCAAACGUCUCUUAUUUAUUGAAUUAACGAGUUUAGAAUCGAUCAUUAUCUUGAGGUAUAUGUUGUCCUACAAUUACUUAAAACCUUACAUGUAGAUAUAGAGUGUGAUCAUAAUACAACUCUCCUAAACUAUAUACAAUGCAUUUUAAGACUAAAUUUAUGUUAUUUGUUAUAUUUAUCACACCGUUAUUCCAAAUCCUAAACAUAAAUCCCUAAAUAAACAAACCUAAACUCUAAAUACUAAACCCUAAAUCCCAAAUAUUAAAUCAGCCGUAAUAGGCUAUAUAACUCGGCCGCCACGUUUGAUAAAUGUAGAUGUUUGGCGGGGAAAUAAGAUAGCAACUUGGAAUUUUUAUUCUUUGAAUUUGGCGACUAUUCGCAUUUCAAUUGGGCUCUAUAUAUGUCCAAUUUCCCUUUUCAUUCUCUUUCCAC
RNAcentral lists this long non-coding RNA (6583 nucleotides) under Brassica napus (rape). RNAcentral's name for it is "long non-coding RNA (BNAP_LNC025853)". The record is from RNAcentral. Lineage: Eukaryota; Viridiplantae; Streptophyta; Magnoliopsida; Brassicales; Brassicaceae.